GUUUGGGUGGCAGAGCCCGGUCAAUGCAGAAGAGCUAAAUCCUUUAAACAGGGGUUCAAAUCCCCUCCUGAAUU
Molecule: transfer RNA, 74 nt
Filed under: Epiplatys grahami
Lineage: Eukaryota; Metazoa; Chordata; Actinopteri; Cyprinodontiformes; Nothobranchiidae
Description: tRNA-Leu
Rfam family: tRNA
About the family: Transfer RNA (tRNA) molecules are approximately 80 nucleotides in length. Their secondary structure includes four short double-helical elements and three loops (D, anti-codon, and T loops). Further hydrogen bonds mediate the characteristic L-shaped molecular structure. tRNAs have two regions of fundamental functional importance: the anti-codon, which is responsible for specific mRNA codon recognition, and the 3' end, to which the tRNAs corresponding amino acid is attached (by aminoacyl-tRNA synthetases). tRNAs cope with the degeneracy of the genetic code in two manners: having more than one tRNA (with a specific anti-codon) for a particular amino acid; and 'wobble' base-pairing, i.e. permitting non-standard base-pairing at the 3rd anti-codon position.
Source: RNAcentral